Molecule: long non-coding RNA, 1785 nt
Filed under: Coturnix japonica (Japanese quail)
Lineage: Eukaryota; Metazoa; Chordata; Aves; Galliformes; Phasianidae
Description: lncRNA (ENSCJPG00005010096.1)
Source: RNAcentral
UGCAAGGUAAACAGAUGAAGUGUUACAAAAGAGGCACUAAUGUGAGCCACUAGUUAAGUCAGAUACAGCUACGACAGAAGAUGACACUCAAUGACUGCAUUUCAAGUGUUGAAGUUCAGGUAUCUACAAUGCAGAUGCCAAUGCCCCAGCUUUCUGAAAUCUUUUUAGAAACAGUGAAGGAAACUGCGGACAAGACAUUUCAUCCAAAUGUGGACAUCCAAAACAAGCCAAAUGCACUGUACCUAUUUCUGUCACUAAAGGUCCUACACAGAGAGGCUCACUCUGCAGUUUGCACACUUCCUUUGCUCAUGCUACAUCACUGUGCUUUCAUCAAGUUCAUCUGAACUCUUCAAUUUCAUGUGAUCUCCUCUGUGGAGCUCUGGCCAGUACAAACAUCAGCUUGUCAGGCUACCUCUCCUUUGGAAAUAAUUAGACAAGUAAUGAAGGAGACAAGUAACAUGAUCUGUGGAAAUCUGCUGUUUCUUACCUACUAUCAUAAAUAUCCACUGCUCCACUGUAUCUAACAUAGGAAUCACAGAAUCACAGAAUGGUUUGUGUUGGAAGGAGCCUCAAAGAUCCUUUAGUUUUAAAGCUGCUGCCAUGGACUCUUUGCCACCCAUCAGAUCAGGCUGCUCAGGGCCUCAUCCAACCUGGUCUUGAAGACUUCCAGGAAGGAGGCACCCAGAACCUCUUUGGGCAGCUUGCUCUAGUUCCUGACCAUCCUCUCAGUGAAAAAUUUUCACAGAAUUAUCAAGGUUGGAAAAGACCUAGAAGAUCAUCCAGUCCAUUUUCCACUGACAUCUAAUCUCAGUCUCUCCUCUUUUAGUUUAAAACCAUUCCCCUUUGUCCUAUCACUACCCAGUCAUGUAAAAAGUUGAUUUCCCUCCUGUUUAUAAGCAUGAUAUUUAGGAAUGCAUCAGUUCAUUGUUUACUGGGGAAGCUAGUUUACAAAGACGCCUUAACUUGGAUUUGUCUACAGUGCACAGAAAUCACAGUAACAACUGUUACUAAGGAGUAAAGAGACUGAGGAAAUCCAAUAAUUCCACAUUGAUUCUUUCCUACUAAAACACAAAUACUGUUUCAAGUUCCCAGAUUCUGCUCUUUGGCAUGAUGCUUACUGCAUGUAGAUAGAACUAACUCAAAAGCUGUUCAUGGAAACCCAGUGUGUGGUACUUCAAACUCUGGGGGAGUAAGAGGAGACAUCCCAGCUUUUUAACCUACAGAAGGUGACAGCCAAGCCCUCUGAGAAAAUCUUAAUGUGAAUUCUGGAGGGAGAAGACUAUUUUCUAAAAGAAAGAACAUUUUCUUGGCAUUUUUGGAAGAAAACAAAAUAAGGGAGGGAAAGAUGUAGCUGCCAAGAAUCAUCAGAUCACCCUGCUUUCAGAGACAAGCAAAUAGUUUCUGACAAAGCUUCAGAAACAGCACACUGGAAACCAGAAGCAGCCCAAGCCUGAUGGGUAAAUUCCCUACCACACCUCUUCUGAACAAACCUUCCCAAGUGAAUAAUAGAAGAUGCUAGGAAUAUAGAGAUGCUAUGUAUCAAAACAUUUUGAAUUGUAAAGAUGCUUAAAUUUCCAUACUCUUAUUAUGAACUGCUCUGAUGACUGUUUGGGUGCUGUUGGAAACUGGUCCCCACACAGAUCAUCUAAUGCAUACCCAUCUGUAACAUUACAGGGAGAAAAACUGAGAUUUAGGCAGAGAAUGGAUGAACCAUCAUGUUUAAAGUUAUAUCCUGAGUGGAUCUGACAUUACUGAUAUAGCAGAGAUGUCAAUAAAAAGAUAAAG